Molecule: long non-coding RNA, 824 nt
Organism: Pezoporus flaviventris
Lineage: Eukaryota; Metazoa; Chordata; Aves; Psittaciformes; Psittacidae
Exons: 3
Source: RefSeq, a predicted model, not a curated record
CCUGUGUCCUUGAGAAAAGGUAGGCUGAAUUUCCUGUUCAGUUGAUGAUACGCUUUCAUCGUGCAGCAACACUGUGUCUCUCUCUUUUAUCAAGUAGUACUGUUUCUUUCUCUUUAUACUGUUUGAAGAUCUUAGGCACUUACAUGCAAGUUACCUAGCUGUUGUUUUGUCUUGGCAGAUACUCAAUUACAUCUUUCUCUUUGGCAAAUGGUAAACUUUUGAUUGAAGGUACAUCAUUAGCUGGGAAGCAUCCUGCUUGGGCAUUCCUAGUAAAGAGAAGGAAAAGGUAAUCAGAGUUCUGAACAGUGAGGAAUAAGAAGACAAGUGAUGACACUGGAGUAGUUAUCCAGAGAUGGUGUGCCCUGGAAACAGGCAUAAGUAGCAGUCAUUUUUGGUGAAACAAAACUAUCCUCUUUGAGUCACCAUAAAGAAAAAAAAAUCAGAAGACAUCUGAAGUGUUAUGACACUGAAUGAUGAGAUAUUGUUUGACAGCACAGUGAAAGGGAAGACAAAAUCCUCAGUACUGUGGUGGUUCCCUGUCAAUCCCAUUUAGACAAGCAAGAACCUUUUCCCAGGGAUUACUGCAGAGGACAGCUCUAAAUUCACCAUGGUAUUUAUUGAGUAUGUGUAUUAAAGUCUAAGGCACCACAAUUCAGAAAAAUUAUCUCCAGAACACUCUUUGAAUGGUAAAAAAUUGCCCCCAUAGAAUAAACUAAACCACAGGUGAUCCCAUUUGCUCCAUUUUGCACAGGCAAAGAAAAGCCUGCUGCCAUAUCGUGAUAACAACCCAGCGCUCUGGUAGACUAGAAAACAAAACCAGGAGA